AUCCCGGGAGGCUGCGCGGAAAGUUGCCCUAAAAAAGAGGCGGCAUCGCUGGCGGUGUCGAACGGUCCCGAGCCGCGGUGCUGCCGCAGCCGCUGUGGCCCCUCGGAGCGCCGCUACUUUGUUUGGCUUAACCAUUGCCUUCCCGCGCUGUGUACUCUGCGCCCAGCUGUGAAGGGUUCAGUCUCUUCCCCAGAUGAUUUCUAACUGAAUGUGAAAGUACGGGUCAGUUUGAAAUACCGGCUAAUCAAAAACUCUCUGCUUAGUUUCACGCCUCAUGGUUCUGGGGCUUGGUUGUUUGUUGUGUCCAGAAACAAACAAGAAAGUGUUGAGAGCAGCUCCUGGGGAUAUUUUCAAGCAUGAUAUUAUACAGCGAGCUGGCAUAUUCACGAAACGACAGGAAACUGGAAUAAAAUGAGUUUCGCUUUCAGCUUUCCCACGACUCCUCCUCGGCAGAGCAAAUGUUACCAGCAAAGAGCACAUCUGGAACAGCGUGCUGGCUGCCAUGGACCAGUCAAUAUCCCUGCCUGAACACAGACCUCUAGUUUUCCUGGGAGUUGAUGUACCUUUAUAUGCCCCUGUAUGUUUUUCCUUUUUUGGUUUUGGGAUCUUUUUUCCCAAAUCACCAGGUUCUCCUUUAACCAGAUGAAUAACUCCACCGAUGUGCAUCAAGGCCACUCAGUGAGCACUUAUGUCUGAAGCUGCACAGGUGAAUGCUCACAGGAUCACAGCUAGGUGAACAACCUUAUUCUUUAGGAACCUUAAAAGCCCGAAAACUUGUUGCUUCCAAUAAAGUAAAAUGAAAGACGAAAGUUGUCAGGAAGCAAAUAAUUUUCCUGCAGUUCCUUCUUGAAUCCUCAAGAGCAUGGCUGCCUUACAGUACCAUGUCUCUUUUUUUCCAUUAUACCUUGAUGCUCGCCAGAUAACCAAAAAUGUAAGUCUACCAGCUUGUGGCUACAGAUACAGUUACUAUAGUAACAUUUAUAAACACUAAUUUCACUACACUUGCAGCACUGCUGCCUGCUAGAAGCUGCUUAGAAAGAAACCACUCUAACUGUGAAUAGACUCUGCAGCAUCCAUAAAAACACAAGGACAACAUCCAAUGACUAUGUGACUUAGUACUCCUGGGAGCAAGUGACUUCUGGAUGAUACACAGUGAAGAAAUCAAGCCUCUGCACAGGUUACUCCCUAUGACUGCUUUUUUCCUUGCUGAUUCCCAUACUGAGAGCAAAAGGAGGUUCAGCAGAAUUAGUGUGACACCUUACUGCAGUGUUCAAGACAGUGACAGAGACAACCAGCAAAAUGAUUGUCAUAUGUAAGCCAUAUUGAGACAUAAUGAGACUGUAAGUUAAACAACUGAAUCAACACAGU
Long non-coding RNA from Passer domesticus (house sparrow), 1368 nucleotides. RefSeq lists it as uncharacterized. The transcript has 6 exons. NCBI's taxonomy places the organism in Eukaryota, Metazoa, Chordata, Aves, Passeriformes, Passeridae. The record is from RefSeq and is a predicted model, not a curated record.